Molecule: transfer RNA, 69 nt
Filed under: Ovis aries (sheep)
Lineage: Eukaryota; Metazoa; Chordata; Mammalia; Artiodactyla; Bovidae
Rfam family: tRNA
About the family: Transfer RNA (tRNA) molecules are approximately 80 nucleotides in length.
Source: Rfam by way of RNAcentral
CCUGGUGGCUCAAACAGUAAAGAAUCUGCCUGUAAUGCAGGAGACCCAGGUUCGAUCCCUGGGUCAGGA